ACCGGGGCUAAUACCGGAUGGUUGUUUGAACCGCAUGGUUCAGACAUAAAAGGUGGCUUCGGCUACCACUUACAGAUGGACCCGCGGCGCAUUAGCUAGUUGGUGAGGUAACGGCUCACCAAGGCGACGAUGCGUAGCCGACCUGAGAGGGUGAUCGGCCACACUGGGACUGAGACACGGCCCAGACUCCUACGGGAGGCAGCAGUAGGGAAUCUUCCGCAAUGGACGAAAGUCUGACGGAGCAACGCCGCGUGAGUGAUGAAGGUUUUCGGAUCGUAAAGCUCUGUUGUUAGGGAAGAACAAGUGCCGUUCAAAUAGGGCGGCACCUUGACGGUACCUAACCAGAAAGCCACGGCUAACUACGUGCCAGCAGCCGCGGUAAUACGUAGGUGGCAAGCGUUGUCCGGAAUUAUUGGGCGUAAAGGGCUCGCAGGCGGUUUCUUAAGUCUGAUGUGAAAGCCCCCGGCUCAACCGGGGAGGGUCAUUGGAAACUGGGGAACUUGAGUGCAGAAGAGGAGAGUGGAAUUCCACGUGUAGCGGUGAAAUGCGUAGAGAUGUGGAGGAACACCAGUGGCGAAGGCGACUCUCUGGUCUGUAACUGACGCUGAGGAGCGAAAGCGUGGGGGAGCGAACAGGAUUAGAUACCCUGGUAGUCCACGCCGUAAACGAUGAGUGCUAAGUGUUAGGGGGGUUUCCGCCCCUUAGUGCUGCAGCUAACGCAUUAAGCACUCCGCCUGGGGAGUACGGUCGCAAGACUGAAACUCAAAGGAAUUGACGGGGGCCCGCACAAGCGGUGGAGCAUGUGGUUUAAUUCGAAGCAACGCGAAGAACCUUACCAGGUCUUGACAUCCUCUGACAAUCCUAGAGAUAGGACGUCCCCUUCGGGGGCAGAGUGACAGGUGGUGCAUGGUUGUCGUCAGCUCGUGUCGUGAGAUGUUGGGUUAAGUCCCGCAACGAGCGCAACCCUUGAUCUUAGUUGCCAGCAUUCAGUUGGGCACUCUAAGGUGACUGCCGGUGACAAACCGGAGGAAGGUGGGGAUGACGUCAAAUCAUCAUGCCCCUUAUGACCUGGGCUACACACGUGCUACAAUGGACAGAACAAAGGGCAGCGAAACCGCGAGGUUAAGCCAAUCCCACAAAUCUGUUCUCAGUUCGGAUCGCAGUCUGCAACUCGACUGCGUGAAGCUGGAAUCGCUAGUAAUCGCGGAUCAGCAUGCCGCGGUGAAUACG
RNAcentral lists this ribosomal RNA (1230 nucleotides) under uncultured Bacillus sp. RNAcentral's name for it is "bacterial SSU rRNA". It matches the Rfam family "Bacterial small subunit ribosomal RNA", at positions 156 to 1370 of the family's 1533-position model. The record is from RNAcentral. Lineage: Bacteria; Bacillati; Bacillota; Bacilli; Caryophanales; Bacillaceae.